Solanum tuberosum (potato) is the source of this 3666-nucleotide long non-coding RNA. RefSeq lists it as uncharacterized. The transcript has 5 exons. NCBI's taxonomy places the organism in Eukaryota, Viridiplantae, Streptophyta, Magnoliopsida, Solanales, Solanaceae. The record is from RefSeq and is a predicted model, not a curated record.
GAUAUAAUCGGCAACAACUAUUUGCAUAUAUGGCCACACCUUUAAAGUGUGCUAUUUUUAUAAUUGUAAAAAUAACACAUUAGAAGUUUGGCCUUGAAAGUUUUCACUAAAAUAAUAUAUUUCCUCCAACAUUUUCAAGUCAGCUUGCUCCAAUUUUUAUUUGGGAAAAAAAAUUCAAGUCAUAAAACAUAGCCUUUCAACUCUUAGGUAAAGCUUUGCCCAAAUUAGAAAAAAAAUCCCAAUUUCUUGAAGAAGAAGAACGCCUUAGCUCCAAAUCUGAAAUUUUUCACCGAGCAAAUUGAAGAAUUGAAGAGUGGUUUCAAAAUUAAAAGAACAAGAUGCUUCAAUUUAGAAGAUGAUUUCUUAAAGCUUCAUCACAUUUAAAGGAUUUUUUUGGAAUAGAGUUUAUCAGGGGACAAGUGGGAAGAAAGCCCGAACAUAUGCUUUCCUUAAUCUAGAAGUAGCUAAGGGUACAUAUCAUGUUGCAUGCCAUCUAUGAUUGUGAGGUCAGUACCUAUGAAUUGGUAAUUCCGGGUGGUGUCUUUGUUUGAUUAGUGUUAUUAAAAGCGAGAGCUUUUUCGCUUAAAGCGAGAAGCAAGGCGAAGCGAAGUUGUAUCACUUUUUUGCAGUGAAGCGAAGCUGUGGUAAAAGAGCGAGCGCUUCAGUCCCAGAAGUGAGAAGUGAGACUUCAGUAAAAGCGAGAAAAAGUUCGCUUUUCUCAUUAAGCGAGGUUUACUGUAACUAGUCUAUUGCUGUGACACUCUUUCAAGUGACUACAAUUUACGCUUCAUCAAAAAGAGUUAGCCGUUUUGAGAGAAGAGAAAAGAAGAGGAGAAGAGGAGAAAAAGCAAGGAUUCGUCGAUUUCUUGAGGAAUUGAGUGCGGAUUUCACCAAGGAUUCAAUCCUACAAGCUCACGUAGGCUUCUCGAACAGUGAAUGGCAUAGCCCAGUUCAGUCUAACAAUAGUAAGAACAUGCACCAAAGGUCAGUUGCUACUGCACAAUAAAGGAUCUGGUGGUUGACACUUUCUGAAUUGGAUUGGCACAUAAAAAAUUAUUGGCUAACUGGAAGUAAAGUUCCCUGUUAUCCUUUGCCAACACAAAGUUAAAUGCAGUCUGAUGAAUUUCCUUGAAAAAAGGCUGGUUUAUUUCUCCAUGUAUUACUUGCUGCAUCUUUUACCAAUGUCAUGCACAUGCAGUGAUAAAUCAGUUCUUCGUCGAUGUCUCUGAAUUAUUUGCUAAGAAAAUUUGUUAGAUCUUUUUAGUUCUUGAUCUCUAUCACAAGACUAUUGAUUUGUUGGUAGAGGGUGAUAAUUUUAUUUUAAAAUGCUUGAGUCGCUGGACAGUUUGCUCGGAAGGGAUGUCAAUUAAAGUUAACUUAAUGAAUCAUAAACUCAUUUUAGGUGGACAUAAAGUAGUACUUAUAUUUAAUAUGGAUGUCAAUUUUAUUCAAUAGGUUGAACUUCAGAAUCGCCAAAAUUUCGGGGAAACAACUAAUGAUGCGUUUAGGGCAGUGUUUGGAAAGGAGCAGCCUGGUCGACUUAGGUGCUAUGGUAGAUCAGUGAUAAAAAUUUCUUUAAAGAAAGAUGAGGAAACUAACAAGCUAAAAUAAAAGCAUGCCAAUGAAAUCACUUCUGUAAAAGAAGAAAUGAAUGAAAUGAGAGAAGAAAUGUGACAUUUAUUUAGUCAAUUGCUGUAAAACAACCCUGGAUUGAAUGUUCAAGAUAUACCAGGGGUGUCGGAUCUAACCUUGCUUAACCUGAUGAUGCGAGUAGUGCACAAGCUAUAAGAGGCCAAAAUCUUCCACAUUCUUCUAGGUCAACUCAUGAUUCAGUUCUUCAAAAGGCAUUUUCUGUUUCACACUCACAAGAAACUUAAAUGUCUUUCUAUUAUGAGUUAAAACAAGUUUAAUACAUGUUUAUUUUUGUGAACAAUAUGUUAGCUAAUUAGUGUCUUGAAGACUAUAUUAUAGGAUUGUAAAUCUGUGAUAAUUGGCUAAUCAACCUUCUCUGUUUCUUUGGAAGUCCUUUUUUUCCUCUAUGAUAGUAGGCAAGUUGACUAAUUAUUUCCCGAAGUUGAUUGAGUUAAUGAGACUAAGGUGUAUGCAUAAAUAGAGCCAGUUACACUUGUGCUCAAUUUUCUGAUGAUUCACUCAUUUUCUUUUGUAAAAGGAGACACCAGUAUUGCCUUCCUUGUUGCUUCCAGUUACAUGUUGCUUCGUGAUUUUUGAGGUUGUUUGGUUUUGAUUGUCUUUCUUCUAGAGAUAGGUUGAAAGUCAUCCAUCAUAUCCUUAUCAACUCUUUGGUCUUUGACUUUUUUAGCUUGUUCUUCCUUUUGAGCAUUGAUUAUAUUAUCAUUGGCUUUGUUUCUAUAAUGGUUCAUCAGAUGACCUUGCAUUUUGCCUUCCUUGUUGCUGCCAGUUACAUGUUGCUGCCAGUAACAUGUUGUUGCGUGAUUUCUGAGGUUGUUUGGUUUUGAUUGUCUUCCUUCUUGAGGCAGGUUGCAACUCAUCCAUCAUAUCCUUAUCAACUCUUUGGUCUUUGAUUUUUUUAGGUUGUUCUUCCUUUUGAGAACUGAUUGUAUUAUCGCUGGCUUUGUUUCUACAAUGGUUCAUUAGAUGACCUUGCAUUUUGUUUUCCUUGUUGCUGCCAGUAAAAUGUUUCUGCCUGGUUUCUGAGGUUGUUUGGUUUUGAUUGUCUUCCUUCUCGAUACAUGUUGAAUGCCAUCCAUCAUAUCCUUAUCAACUCUUUGGUCUUUGAUUUUUUUAGCUUGUUCUUCCUUUUGAGCAUUGAUUAUAUUAUCAUUGGCUUUGUUUCUAUAAUGGUUCAUCAGAUGACCUUGCAUUUUGCCUUCCUUGUUGCUGCCAGUUACAUGUUGCUGCCAGUAACAUGUUGUUGCGUGAUUUCUGAGGUUGUUUGGUUUUGAUUGUCUUCCUUCUUGAGGCAGGUUGCAACUCAUCCAUCAUAUCCUUAUCAACUCUUUGGUCUUUGACUUUUUUAGCUUGUUCUUCCUUUUGAGCAUUGAUUAUAUUAUCAUUGGCUUUGUUUCUAUAAUGGUUCAUCAGAUGACCUUGCAUUUUGCCUUCCUUGUUGCUGCCAGUUACAUGUUGCUGCCAGUAACAUGUUGUUGCGUGAUUUCUGAGGUUGUUUGGUUUUGAUUGUCUUCCUUCUCGAUACAUGUUGAAUGCCAUCCAUCAUAUCCUUAUCAACUCUUUGGUCUUUGACUUUUUUAGCUUGUUCUUCCUUUUGAGCAUUGAUUAUAUUAUCAUUGGCUUUGUUUCUAUAAUGGUUCAUCAGAUGACCUUGCAUUUUGCCUUCCUUGUUGCUGCCAGUUACAUGUUGCUGCCAGUAACAUGUUGUUGCGUGAUUUCUGAGGUUGUUUGGUUUUGAUUGUCUUCCUUCUUGAGGCAGGUUGCAACUCAUCCAUCAUAUCCUUAUCAACUCUUUGGUCUUUGAUUUUUUUAGCUUGAUCUUCCUUGUGAGCAUUGAUUCUAUCAUCGCUGGCUUUGUUUCUACAAUGGUUCAUCAGAUGAUUCUAACAUUUUUCUGUUAGAACAUGGUUUCUUUUUAAUGUUUUGUCACUGAUAUCUAUUACAUAUGAACAUGAAAUCUGAUUACAUUCAAUUUGUUUAACAAGGAUUCUCUCUAAUUUUUAAUUUCUUUUUUAA